RNAcentral lists this ribosomal RNA (503 nucleotides) under uncultured bacterium. Its description in RNAcentral is "partial 16S ribosomal RNA". It matches the Rfam family "Bacterial small subunit ribosomal RNA", at positions 29 to 507 of the family's 1533-position model. The record is from RNAcentral.
AACGAACGCUGGCGGCGUGCCUAACACAUGCAAGUCGAACGAGAAAGGGGCUUCGGCUCCGAGUAAAGUGGCGCACGGGUGAGUAACACGUGGGUAACCUGCCUCUAAGAUUGGGAUAACUCGUCGAAAGAUGAGCUAAUACCGAAUAAGACCACAGUUCCCGCGGGAACAGGGGUCAAAGGUAGCCUCUGCUUGCAAGCUAUCACUUAGAGAUGGGCCUGCGCACCAUUAGCUAGUUGGUAGGGUAACGGCCUACCAAGGCAAAGAUGGUUAGCUGGUCUGAGAGGAUGAUCAGCCACACUGGAACGGAGACACGGUCCAGACGCCUACGGGAGGCAGCAGUGGGGAAUAUUGCGCAAUGGGCGAAAGCUUGACGCAGCAACGCCGCGUGAGUGAUGAAGGCCUUCGGGUCGUAAAGCUCUGUCGGGAGGAACGAAUGCUCCUGAGGUUAACAGCCUCGGGAGGUGACGGUACCUUCAAAGGAAGCACCGGCUAACUCUGUG